Molecule: non-coding RNA, 89 nt
Organism: Vulpes vulpes (red fox)
Lineage: Eukaryota; Metazoa; Chordata; Mammalia; Carnivora; Canidae
Source: Ensembl
GGCUUAAGAAUACUUGUCUGCUCCACCCUUGAGGAUCAUUGUUGGGGCUUCCACGAGUUGGCAGCCUUGUCUUCCUGCCUCAGACAUCU